Molecule: non-coding RNA, 1242 nt
Organism: Podarcis lilfordi (Lilford's wall lizard)
Lineage: Eukaryota; Metazoa; Chordata; Lepidosauria; Squamata; Lacertidae
Source: the annotation of a GenBank genome assembly
GAAAUACAUUUAACAGGUGCAACUGACGUGGAGGGACCUAAUCUUGUAUGUUGAAUUUUUACCUCUUGUUGCAGCUGUUAAACAUACAAGCAGUCUGCAAGGGGAGGAAGGGGUUGUCGUAUUCUGAAGAGCAAAAAAGAGGACACAUUUGCUGACUUCUACUUUUUAACUAUGGAUCACUAUGACGAGUCGUGGAAAAGAGGACGUGUCCUGGAAAAAGCAGACAUAUGGCAACCCGGCUCCCACUUCCAGGAUGGAAAACUUCCUCUCUGUUUUCAGCCCACACAGCCUAUGAACGUACGCACAAGCAUAUUCUCAAUAAUGCACAUUAGUUGCCCCUCUUGUGUUCAGAAGUAAAUCAAAGGAGUUUAUUUCCAAGCAGUUGAACAACUAUCUUAGAAUCAUAGAAUGGUAGAGUUGGAAGGGACACCAGGGGCCAAUCCAGUCCAGCCCCUGCAAAUAUAGGAAUCUUCUGCCCAGCAUGGGGCUUGAACCUAUGAAAGUGAAAUUAAGAGUCUCGUGCACUACCAACAUACACUUUCAAGGGUGAAAGUUGGACUUCUACAAUCUUUACAAUGGAAACUGGUAGGUUGCAGGUUUGAUCCCUGUAAAUGUCAGCUGCAUAUUCCUCCAUUGCAGGGUGUGGAUCAAUGAUCCUCAAGUUCCCUUCCAACUCUUGUGAUUCUAACCCAUUUGUGAGUGCAGGACAUGGAGGUAAUAAUUUCACAGGAAAUAAUAGCAUGGUGCUUCCACACUAAUCUUUUAGGUAUUGACUACCCAUUGGUCCUAGACUAGAGAAUCCAGAUGCUGCUCAUUCCAAACCAUUGCAUUCCAAUGUCUUUCCCAAUGUCAUCCCACUUUUUUCCUCAUGGCCCAGUUACUCACAAUUUUAAAACUUCCACCAUAAUUAAAAUGCAGUCCUUUCAGAAAAAAACUUGGCUAUGGUUACAUUCCUGUUGCACACUUACCCAGAAGACAGCUCUGUUGAACACUGUGGGUCUUACUUCCAAAUAAACAUGCAUAGGUUCACACACUGCAGAGCUAUUGUUCCACAGAAUAUGAAAGUAUUUGUAUAUGUGUGUUUUAAAGUGGCUGAAGACACUUUGUAACCCUUCCUUUCUGGUUUGUCUGCCUAUCCCUCUACCCCAGCAAUGCUUAAUUUCUGUCAGUUUGACUCUGCAGUGUGUUAUCAGGGUGUCUUUGUUUUUCAAUCUUGUCGAUAACGUAUGUUGCAGAAGUGGU